This 1827-nucleotide long non-coding RNA is filed under the name Numida meleagris (helmeted guineafowl). RNAcentral's name for it is "lncRNA (ENSNMEG00000017714.1)". Lineage: Eukaryota; Metazoa; Chordata; Aves; Galliformes; Numididae. The record is from RNAcentral.
GCAGUUGUUGAGACAAACUGAACGUUAGUCCCUAGAAGUGAGCUAGAGAGUGGUAGCGCAGUUCACUUAUGUCUUCAGCUACUUCUGUGAUUGCAUCCCAUGUUGACAUAGAUUGGGCAAGGAAGCCUGUUGUCCCCUGGGUAUCAGGUAGCACUGCGAACAAUGUGUGACUUCUUUGAGGGAGGACCUGGAUCACUGUGUUGUUACAGCUCAUGUUAGAGCUCUGCUUGGCAAGGACCAUGACUAUCUGGAGUCAGCGUUUCACUCUGAAGAAAGGUAGAAAGCUCACCGAAUUGUUUAGGUGAAUUUUUUACUCCAGAAAAUUUGGUGUUCAGUUGCUGGUCCAGAUUGGGUUACUUAGAUAUGUAGGUUCUUUUGGUUUGUUUUUGCCCUCAGCCAACUCAUGAUCUUGCCCUAAAUAUUGUUGAACAAAAAAGUGACUGUAGUUGAAGGGGUUAUUUCAAAAACUGUCUCAUUCCAUUAUUUAUUUUUCAUUAGGAGGUUUCCCUGAUGAGUAUUAUUUGUUUGCAGUUAUUAAAAUCCAUAUUUUCUCUUUCCCUUAUCUAACCAGUGAUGUGUCAGAGGAGUGCUUCCUUGUUGUGCAUUAUCCAUGGCAACAUCCCAGUGCUGCCUCAGCUGUCUUCCACUUCCUAGUGCUGUUCUUUGAUCUUUUCUUCUUGCUCAUUUUCUGUACUAUUACUCUCUUAUUCAUUGGACUGCUAUGCAUUACAGCCUACUAAGGGAGAACGAUGCAGCUAACUCAUCAAGGAAAUUUCUUGCCAUUAUUCUAUAUGCAUUGCAGAAGCCAGUUAAAAAGCAUUCCCAGUAAUCUGGUACAAGCAAAGGACCCAGCCCAGAGCAAAGGACUUCUCUGCUGUGUGCAUUUCCAGAGGGUAGGUCGAACAUUUUAUCAUUCAAUAAUAACUGAUGCUGCUGGAAACUGUACUCAGAAUUUUGUAAGAAAUUUUAUUUCAGUUCACUUAUGUGCCUCUUUAUCUAAAGAAAAACUAUUAGAUUCAAAUAUGGGAUACGCUGAUGUGAUAGGCAAAUAAUUUUGGGACCAACAUAAAGACUUACCCAUAAUGAAGUGUUUUUAGAAACGGGUUUUUCUUCAAUUUUCUGACAGAUAAUUUUGUUAGUUAUUCAAAAACAGAAAAUAGUUGCUAUGCGAUUUAGUAUAUUUAUGUACUUUCUGCCUUCAAAAUAUUUUGUAAAAGUAACGUAUAUAUGAAUUCCAGUAUUGCCAUAUUUUAGUACUGAAUUUCUUAAAUUUUACACUCAUAGCUGUAAUUAUUGUAAGCAUCAACUGUUGUGACUGUUCUGGAAUAAUUUCAGAGUUACUAUUUUAAUGGCUCAUUUUCAGUCAGAAUGAGUUCUCUGGUUUGAUGAGAGAUUAAAUAUCUCUCAAAGAGUGAAUGAGGGAAGUCUCUGUGAAUGUAUCAUCUCACACAAUCACUAUUUCAUGGUAUUUUUGUGUUGUAAAGCAUGUAAAACUUUCUAAAUAAGAAAUUGCAAAAGCAUUUUCAAUUUUUCUUGGUAUGCAAGCCAUAGUACUUCUGUAAUGUCUAUUGACUUACAUGAACAGCAUUAUAAGCAGUUUGUUGGCAAAAACACUUGAGAAAAAAAAUCACGCUUCUAGCACAGUUCUCUCUGGAGAAGCAAGAAGCUAAGCCUGAUAGACUGCUACCUCUGUAGCACAACAAGGUGGUUAUUCAUCCUCCUGUAAAAGCGGGUCUUUAGGGGCUAGUGGGCUAUACUUAAGAUCAAUAGAACUAUUGGCACAUAUUGAUUUGCUUAAUAAAUCUUGAUCCUGGCUUAUAAUAAUCA